RNAcentral lists this ribosomal RNA (293 nucleotides) under uncultured bacterium. Its description in RNAcentral is "partial 16S ribosomal RNA". It matches the Rfam family "Bacterial small subunit ribosomal RNA", at positions 505 to 797 of the family's 1533-position model. The record is from RNAcentral.
GUGCCAGCAGCCGCGGUAACACGUAGGACACGAACGUUAAUCGGAAUUACUGGGCGUAAAGCGUGCGUAGGCGGUUUGAUAAGCCAGAUGUGAAAUCCCGGGGCUCAACCUCGGAACUGCAUUUGGAACUGUUUGACUAGAGUACUGUAGGGGGUGGUGGAAUUUCCAGUGUAGCGGUGAAAUGCGUAGAGAUUGGAAGGAACAUCAGUGGCGAAGGCGGCCACCUGGACAGAUACUGACGCUGAGGCACGAAAGCGUGGGGAGCGAACAGGAUUAGAUACCCCGGUAGUCCG